Molecule: ribosomal RNA, 1785 nt
Filed under: Arcyria globosa
Lineage: Eukaryota; Evosea; Eumycetozoa; Trichiida; Trichiidae
Description: partial 18S ribosomal RNA
Rfam family: Eukaryotic small subunit ribosomal RNA
Source: RNAcentral
GCCCAUAUGCGCCGUCGUCCGGCUGAUCGGAUAGACGCGGUAAUUCUGCUUGUAAUACGUGUUCACCGCCGGGAGUGUGUCCGGCCCUCACGGGCUGGGCUUCUCCACAUUCCGGCUGGAGUCCCAAGGCAUCAAUCCCGCUCCGGCGGGGGAGGAGUCCCCGGGACAGAACCACAGAAGGCCUUCGAGGCCCUCGUAGGCGCUGGGCUUCAGACCUAUCAACUGUGGAGGCUGGGUAAGGUCCAGCCUCGGUGAUAACGGGUACAGAGGAUCAGGGUUCGGUCCUGGAGAGGUAGCCUGAGAGAUAGCUACUACUUCUAAGGAAGGCAGCAGGCGCGCAACGUUCCCAAUGGUUUGCCACCCCGUGGCUGAGGACGUUAAGGGACAUAACAAUGCCCUGCCCUUUCGGGCGGGGUAAUUGUAAUGGGGGCGUUCUAAACCCCCCACCGAGUAGCAAUUGGAGGACAAGUCUGGUGCCAGCACCCGCGGUAAUUCCAGCUCCAAUAGCAUCUAAUUGAGUUGUUGCAGUUAAAACGCUCGUAGUCCGACACGGCACUGCUGACCCGCUGAGUAGCUUCCCGCGUGGGUGCCGGCUCCGGCCGGCGCGAAGCCCCACGGGCGGUCCAAAGGCGAUUAGGCGGGGCCAUAAUGGCGUGGGCGGGCGGGUCCGGCCGCCCGCCCGUUAGCCGUUUUACUUUGAGGAAAUGUGAGCGCUCUAAGCAGCCCCUUGGGGGCCUGAAGCCUGCAGCAAAGAAUAAUACAACACGGUUCUCGUGGCGUAUUGGUACGGCGCCGCCGGGCAAUGAUCAAUAGGGGAGAUCGGGGUCGGCCUCAUGGCGGGGGUAGGGGUGAAAUCCGUUGAUCCUCGCCAGGAGAACAAGAGCGAAAGCAGCCGACAAGUACUCUUUCUUUGAUCAAGAACGAAAGUCUGGGGAUCGAAGAUGAUCAGAUACCAUCGUAGUCCAGACCCUAAAUGUUGCCGACCAUGGAUGGGCGCCAGUCCGUCCCGACCCGGCCCGCACCUUGUGAGAAAUCAUAAGUGUUUGGGCUCCGGGGGGAGUAUGGUCGCAAGACUGAAACUUAAAGGAAUUGACGGAAGAGCACACAAGGAGUGGAGCCUGCGGCCUAAUUUGACUCAACACGGGGAAACUCACGAGUGCAAGAGAAGGUUACGAAGCCCGGCAUGAAUUGCCUGGCUGAUUCUUUCAGUGGUGGUGCAUGGUCGUUCUUAGUUCGUGGAGUGAUUUGUCUGGUCUAUUCCGCUAACGAGCGAGAACCCGCUUUCUGGAUGUUGCGUGGCUGGGGCUGGUGGGGUUGCGGCAGGCGGGCGGUACAUUGGGCCUCCGGGCCCUCUAAGGCUGCUCGCAGGCGGGCCCUCCGUUUAAUGUCCCGGCUUGCGGUCCUGCAAAGUGUCCCGGCGACAAGCCGGGGCUCUGGGUCAAUAACAGGUCAGUGAUGCCCUUAGAUGUACUCGGCUGCACGCGCGCUACAAUGGGAGGUCCAACGGGUCCUCAGCCCCUAUCGGGUGCGGAGAAUCCUAGUAAAGCCGCCCUCAUCUGGGAUUGCAGCAUGUAAUAUGCGGCAUGAACAUGGAAUUUCUAGUAGUCACGGUUCACCAGACCGUGGCGAUUCUGUCCCUGCUCUUUGUACACACCGCCCGUCGCUCCUACCGAUUGGGCUGCGGGGUGAAAUAGGAGGACCCCUAAGCUGCUCGUCCGGCACUUGUGCCGGACAGCGGGUAAUCCCUUUGAACCCUGUGGUCUAGAGGAAGGAGAAGUCGUAACA